Molecule: ribosomal RNA, 204 nt
Filed under: Triticum aestivum (bread wheat)
Lineage: Eukaryota; Viridiplantae; Streptophyta; Magnoliopsida; Poales; Poaceae
Description: partial small subunit ribosomal RNA
Source: RNAcentral
AUGAUUUCAAGACAAGAGCCCAUUCCACUACCAAAGGUUACCACACCCGCUGAAAUACUUGAUGCACAUAGGUUGAUACCUGAUUUAGCUGAGCAAGAUAUGCUUCGAUGUUACGGGAAAUUGGUACUCAAUGAUCGCUUGUUUCAAGCUCUGAAGGAGCUGCCCAUUACCAUGAGGAAGACAUGGCUGCUAAUGUUGCUUUGA